UUUCUGUAGGUGAACCUGCGGAAGGAUCAUUAAUGAGUUGUCAUGGGGUUCGAUGCUGGCAGCCAGUUUUUGGAUGCAUGUGCUUGCCCUAACAAUCAUCUUCUUCCAAACACCUGUGCACAUUUUUGAGGGAGUCUUGAGUUGGUUGCCGCUCUUGGGUGAUUUUCUCACAUUCCCUUAAAUCAUUAUACGCUAUUAACAAUGUUGAACGUGCUCUGUGCCGCAAGGCCAUUAAUAUAAUACAACUUUUAACAACGGAUCUCUUGGCUCUC
RNAcentral lists this unclassified non-coding RNA (272 nucleotides) under plant metagenome. RNAcentral's name for it is "partial contains small subunit ribosomal RNA, internal transcribed spacer 1, and 5.8S ribosomal RNA". The record is from RNAcentral.